This 1346-nucleotide ribosomal RNA is filed under the name uncultured bacterium. RNAcentral's name for it is "bacterial SSU rRNA". It matches the Rfam family "Bacterial small subunit ribosomal RNA", at positions 28 to 1381 of the family's 1533-position model. The record is from RNAcentral.
GACGAACGCUGGCGGCGUGCUUAACACAUGCAAGUCGAACGGAAAGGCCCUGCUUUUGUGGGGUGCUCGAGUGGCGAACGGGUGAGUAACACGUGAGUAACCUGCCCUUGACUUUGGGAUAACUUCAGGAAACUGGGGCUAAUACCGGAUAGGAGCUCCUGCUGCAUGGCGGGGGUUGGAAAGUUUCGGCGGUUGGGGAUGGACUCGCGGCUUAUCAGCUUGUUGGUGGGGUAGUGGCUUACCAAGGCUUUGACGGGUAGCCGGCCUGAGAGGGUGACCGGCCACAUUGGGACUGAGAUACGGCCCAGACUCCUACGGGAGGCAGCAGUGGGGAAUAUUGCACAAUGGGCGGAAGCCUGAUGCAGCAACGCCGCGUGCGGGAUGACGGCCUUCGGGUUGUAAACCGCUUUCGCCUGUGACGAAGCGUGAGUGACGGUAAUGGGUAAAGAAGCACCGGCUAACUACGUGCCAGCAGCCGCGGUGAUACGUAGGGUGCGAGCGUUGUCCGGAUUUAUUGGGCGUAAAGGGCUCGUAGGUGGUUGAUCGCGUCGGAAGUGUAAUCUUGGGGCUUAACCCUGAGCGUGCUUUCGAUACGGGUUGACUUGAGGAAGGUAGGGGAGAAUGGAAUUCCUGGUGGAGCGGUGGAAUGCGCAGAUAUCAGGAGGAACACCAGUGGCGAAGGCGGUUCUCUGGGCCUUUCCUGACGCUGAGGAGCGAAAGCGUGGGGAGCGAACAGGCUUAGAUACCCUGGUAGUCCACGCUGUAAACGGUGGGUACUAGGUGUGGGGUCCAUUCCACGGGUUCCGUGCCGUAGCUAACGCUUUAAGUACCCCGCCUGGGGAGUACGGCCGCAAGGCCAAAACUCAAAGGAAUUGACGGGGCCCCGCACAAGCGGCGGAGCAUGCGGAUUAAUUCGAUGCAACGCGUAGAACCUUACCUGGGUUUGACAUGGAUCGGGAGCGCUCAGAGAUGGGUGUGCCUCUUUUGGGGUCGGUUCACAGGUGGUGCAUGGCUGUCGUCAGCUCGUGUCGUGAGAUGUUGGGUUAAGUCCCGCAACGAGCGCAACCCUUGUUCACUGUUGCCAGCACGUUAUGGUGGGGACUCAGUGGAGACCGCCGGGGUCAACUCGGAGGAAGGUGGGGAUGACGUCAAGUCAUCAUGCCCCUUAUGUCCAGGGCUUCACGCAUGCUACAAUGGCUGGUACAGAGAGUGGCGAGCCUGUGAGGGUGAGCGAAUCUCGGAAAGCCGGUCUCAGUUCGGAUUGGGGUCUGCAACUCGACCUCAUGAAGUCGGAGUCGCUAGUAAUCGCAGAUCAGCAACGCUGCGGUGAAUACGUUCCCGGGGCU